ACACGGUGCUCCAGACUGAAAGGUGG
RNAcentral lists this non-coding RNA (26 nucleotides) under Homo sapiens (human). The record is from RNAcentral. Lineage: Eukaryota; Metazoa; Chordata; Mammalia; Primates; Hominidae.